GGUGCCGUAGCCUAGCGGUUAAGGCGAUAGACUAAAUCUUUUGGGAUAUUCCCGGGCAGGUUCGAAUCCUGCCGACGACG
This 80-nucleotide transfer RNA is filed under the name Dreissena polymorpha. It matches the Rfam family "tRNA". From Rfam's summary of the family: Transfer RNA (tRNA) molecules are approximately 80 nucleotides in length. Their secondary structure includes four short double-helical elements and three loops (D, anti-codon, and T loops). Lineage: Eukaryota; Metazoa; Mollusca; Bivalvia; Myida; Dreissenidae. The record is from Rfam by way of RNAcentral.